Molecule: ribosomal RNA, 298 nt
Filed under: uncultured bacterium
Lineage: Bacteria
Description: partial 16S ribosomal RNA
Rfam family: Bacterial small subunit ribosomal RNA
Source: RNAcentral
GGAUUAGAUACCCUGGUAGUCCACGCCGUAAACGAUGGGCACUAGGUGUUGGGUCGACCUUCGGGUCGGUUCGGUGCCGCAGCUAACGCAUUAAGUGCCCCGCCUGGGGAGUACGCUCGCAAGGGUGAAACUCAAAGGAAUUGACGGGGGCCCGCACAAGCGGUGGAGCAUGUGGUUUAAUUCGAUGCAACGCGAAGAACCUUACCGGGGCUUGAACUGUAGAGUAAACCCUGUGAAAGCAGGACUGUCUUCGGACAACUCUAUAGAGGUGCUGCAUGGCUGUCGUCAGCUCGUGUUG